ACUCGCGGCUCCGCAGCGCAGCUCCAUGGCAGCCGAGCCCCUCCCCGUGGAACUCACCCCCCUGCACCCCCAAACUGCCCCCCAGGGGGACCCCCAACAACCCCCCCAACCCCCUGAGGCCGAAGCCAACGGGCUCCUCAAACCCCAACCCCAAGAGGGGGACCCCCAAAACCCUUCCCCCCCCCCCCCUCAGCUCCCAUCCUAAAGGGGACCCCGAAUUAGGCUCAGGGGGGUCCCCAGAAGUGGGGGGACCCCCCAAAUUCACGGGGCUGGGCAAGGAGGAGCUGCUGGCGGCGGCGGCGGCGGCGCCCUGGGUCAGGCUCCGGGGGGGGCUGCUGCUGCUGUUUUGGGGGGGCUGGUUGGCCAUGUUGGGGGCCGCUGCUGCCGUGGUGGUGGCGGCUCCUCGCUGCCCCCCCCCCUGCACCCCAAAACCCAGCCAGCUGGUGGAGAGGAGGAGGAUGGUAUAGGGCACCCCCCAGGGAGUUUGGGGGGCAGCUGAAGGGGGUGACGUCCCGCCUGGGCCACGUGGCCGAGCUGCAGGCUCCGGGGGCUGCUCCUGGGGCCCCUUUACCCAGCCCCCAGCCCGGGGGGGGACCCCAAAAACCAGGGGGGGGACCCCAAAAACCUGCCCCCCCCCGCCCUGGAGGAGCUGGACCCCGAGCUGGGGACCCUGGACGACUUCACGGCCCUGGUGGAGGCUGCCAAGGGCAAAGGGCUGAGGGUGGUCGUGGAUCUGACCCCCAACUACUCGGGGGGGCCCCUGUGGGGGGGCCCUGAGCUCACCUCAGACCCCCAGUUCCAGGAGAGGGUCAAGCGGGCGCUGGGGCUGUGGCUGGAGCGUGGGGCAGCCGGAGUCUUCCUGGAUGGCAUCGAGGAGCUGGAGGUC
This is a long non-coding RNA of Colius striatus (speckled mousebird), 886 nucleotides long. RefSeq lists it as uncharacterized. NCBI's taxonomy places the organism in Eukaryota, Metazoa, Chordata, Aves, Coliiformes, Coliidae. The transcript is spliced from 5 exons. The record is from RefSeq and is a predicted model, not a curated record.